This 1507-nucleotide ribosomal RNA is filed under the name Ruminococcus bicirculans (ex Wegman et al. 2014). Its description in RNAcentral is "bacterial SSU rRNA". It matches the Rfam family "Bacterial small subunit ribosomal RNA". The record is from RNAcentral. Lineage: Bacteria; Bacillati; Bacillota; Clostridia; Eubacteriales; Oscillospiraceae.
AGAGUUUGAUCCUGGCUCAGGACGAACGCUGGCGGCACGCUUAACACAUGCAAGUCGAACGAGAGAAGAGGAGCUUGCUUUUCUGAUCUAGUGGCGGACGGGUGAGUAACACGUGAGCAAUCUGCCUUUCAGAGGGGGAUACCGAUUGGAAACGAUCGUUAAUACCGCAUAACAUAAUUGAACCGCAUGAUUUGAUUAUCAAAGAUUUAUCGCUGAAAGAUGAGCUCGCGUCUGAUUAGCUAGUUGGUAAGGUAACGGCUUACCAAGGCGACGAUCAGUAGCCGGACUGAGAGGUUGAUCGGCCACAUUGGGACUGAGACACGGCCCAGACUCCUACGGGAGGCAGCAGUGGGGAAUAUUGCACAAUGGAGGAAACUCUGAUGCAGCGAUGCCGCGUGAGGGAAGAAGGUUUUAGGAUUGUAAACCUCUGUCUUCAGGGACGAAAAAAGACGGUACCUGAGGAGGAAGCUCCGGCUAACUACGUGCCAGCAGCCGCGGUAAUACGUAGGGAGCGAGCGUUGUCCGGAAUUACUGGGUGUAAAGGGAGCGUAGGCGGGAUCGCAAGUCAGAUGUGAAAACUAUGGGCUUAACCCAUAAACUGCAUUUGAAACUGUGGUUCUUGAGUGAAGUAGAGGUAAGCGGAAUUCCUAGUGUAGCGGUGAAAUGCGUAGAUAUUAGGAGGAACAUCAGUGGCGAAGGCGGCUUACUGGGCUUUAACUGACGCUGAGGCUCGAAAGCGUGGGGAGCAAACAGGAUUAGAUACCCUGGUAGUCCACGCCGUAAACGAUGAUUACUAGGUGUGGGGGGACUGACCCCUUCCGUGCCGCAGCAAACGCAAUAAGUAAUCCACCUGGGGAGUACGACCGCAAGGUUGAAACUCAAAGGAAUUGACGGGGGCCCGCACAAGCAGUGGAGUAUGUGGAUUAAUUCGAAGCAACGCGAAGAACCUUACCAGGUCUUGACAUCGUAUGCAUAGCUCAGAGAUGAGUGAAAUCUCUUCGGAGACAUAUAGACAGGUGGUGCAUGGUUGUCGUCAGCUCGUGUCGUGAGAUGUUGGGUUAAGUCCCGCAACGAGCGCAACCCUUACUGUUAGUUGCUACGCAAGAGCACUCUAGCAGGACUGCCGUUGACAAAACGGAGGAAGGUGGGGAUGACGUCAAAUCAUCAUGCCCCUUAUGACCUGGGCCUCACACGUACUACAAUGGCUGUCAACAGAGGGAAGCAAAGCCGCGAGGUGGAGCGAACCCCUAAAAGCAGUCUUAGUUCGGAUUGUAGGCUGCAACCCGCCUACAUGAAGUCGGAAUUGCUAGUAAUCGCAGAUCAGCAUGCUGCGGUGAAUACGUUCCCGGGCCUUGUACACACCGCCCGUCACGCCAUGGGAGUCGGUAACACCCGAAGCCUGUAGUCUAACCGCAAGGAGGACGCAGUCGAAGGUGGGAUUGAUGACUGGGGUGAAGUCGUAACAAGGUAGCCGUAUCGGAAGGUGCGGCUGGAUCACCUCCUUUCU